This 2267-nucleotide long non-coding RNA is filed under the name Canis lupus familiaris (dog). RNAcentral's name for it is "lncRNA (ENSCAFG00000052727.1)". Lineage: Eukaryota; Metazoa; Chordata; Mammalia; Carnivora; Canidae. The record is from RNAcentral.
GGUAAAAUGGGCAUUUAUAGAUAGAUGACAGAACUGGUACGGCAAUCAACAGAGAAAAAUGAGUUUUCAAGGAAUUAAAAAAAUAAUAAUAACCAUGUUAUUUACCUUAUCCUAUAGAACAUAAAACUGUACAUAUUUUAGAACACAGUACAAAAGAAGAUAAUCAUGACUCCAAGAUGGAGACGAAUUUCUUCAGCAAGACAUAAAAAUACCAACAAUACAGAAAAAAACUGAAACAUUUCAUUAGGAUCAGAAAGAUAAACAGACUGAGAAAAUAUUUGAAAGUUAUAACCAAAGGAUUGGCCUCCUGAAUUUAUAAGGGCGUCCUGUUAACCAAAAAAGUCUCGAACAAUCCCAUUUUUUAAAACAAGCAAAAGAUUUGAACAGGGACUUUAUAAAAGAAAAUCAAAGGGUAAGCAAAGCCAGGAGUAAACAAAUGAAUCUCAUGGAAAUGCAAAUUACACAACACUGAGGUCAAAUACACAAAUGACAAAUGUUGUCUUUCACAACAUAUACAUGGCUCUAAAAAAGUAACUGAAAUACAUUAAAAUGGUGGGAUUAUGGUGGAUUGUAUUCUUUGCAUUAUUAUUUCUCAAAUUCUUUAGUUUUGCCUUUUCAUUUUAUGCCCUGGAGAUUUUCCAAAAUCUUCAAGUCUGAGAAUACCAAAUGUAGAGCCUUCCCAUUGCUGCUGUCAAGGCAUCGAUUGCUAUGAGAAGAGUUAGUUAGGACCAGGUGGAGGUGAAGAUACACACUUCGUAUGCAAACAGUUCUACUCCUGGAUGUAUUCUCGAGAGAUCCUACACAUAUGCAAUAGGAGAGAUAUGUAAGAAUGUUCUUUGAGGGGCAUCUGGAUGGCUCAGCUGGGUAAGUGUCGGCCUUCAGCUCACGUCAUGAUCCUCUGGGUUCCCAGGUCAGAUAGAGCCCUUUGCUGGGCUCCCUGCUCAGUAGGGAGCCUGCUUCUCCCUCCUCCCUUUGCUCCUCCCCUCCUGCUCAUGCUCACUCUCUCUUUCAAAUCCAUAAAAUCUUUAAAAAAAAUGUUCAUCACUUUGUGACAGUCUAGGUGCUAGCACAGCAGAAGAGACACACACUGCAGUGUCCUCAUAUAAUGGACAGAUACACAGUAAGAGAAAACCACCACAGCCAUGAGCAUCAACAGGGAUGACUUAGCAAAACAGUCAAAGGAAAAUACAUGUACUAUUCUAAUUAUUAAAUAGGAUCUAAUACUCUAUUAAGCUUCAUUAAAGGGACCCUGGGUGGCUCAGUUGGUUAAGCAUCUGCCUUUGGCUCAGGUCAUGAUCUGAGGGUCCUGGGAUGGAGCCCCAAAUCAGGCUCAGCAGGGAGCUGGCUUCUCCCCUCCCUCUGCCACUCCCCCCUGCUUAUGCUCUCUCUUUCACCAUCUCUCUCAAAUAAAUAAAAUCUUAAAAAAAAAAAAAAGAACUUUACUGAAGUUUACUUUUGCCUGAUAUUUUUCUUAGACUAUCUUUCAGGAGCAUAAACUUCAGGACUAUUCAAAGUGUGGUCUACAAGGCCAUACUGAACUGUUACUGGUUGAAGAAGAGAUAAGCACAAAAAGAGAACAGAAAUAUGCCUAGAAAGUAGGCAGUUAAAAGGCUAAUAGUAAUUUAAUAGUGCCAAAAUAUUCAAGCAUGUGAUUUUGUAUUUACAAGGAUCAGCUUGUGAUGGUUUGGAAGUUUUUUUUAAAAAGUGGUUUCAGGGGCGCCUGGGUGGUGUAGUCACUUAAGUGCCUGACUCUUGGUUUUGGGUCAGGUCCUGAUCUCAAGGUCAUAGGGUGGGAGCCCCUCAUCCGGCUCCUCACUCAGCACAGAAUAUGCUAAAGUUUCUCUCUCCCUCUCCCUCUGCCCUGCCCCCCUUCAUGCUCUCUCUCAAAUAAGUAAUCUUUUAUUUUUUUUUAAAGUAUGUAACAGAUUUCUUUUUUAUUUACAAUCAAGUUCUGUUGGGCAACAUAAAUAAAUAAAUAAAAGAUGCUCCCUGGCCUGUGAAUUCCACCUCCCUUGAGCUCUUGGAACAGCAGGCUGGAAAGUGGGGGAGGAGGGCUGGGGAUAGAGGAUGGACAGGGCGCUUCUCCUCACCGAGCUCCAGCACUCAUACCCACAGCUGUCCAGAGAACAAUUGUGGAAGGAAAAAAAUAAAGUGCAAAUUAAAAAGUCAUGAAAGUAUUGGUGUUUCAGUCACUCAGGAACUAAAAGGAUAUACACAGGUAAAAUGGUAAAGAUAAAUGUAAAAAAAAAAAAAAAAAAAAAAAAAAA